This 2899-nucleotide ribosomal RNA is filed under the name Klebsiella pneumoniae. RNAcentral describes it as "23S ribosomal RNA". It matches the Rfam family "Bacterial large subunit ribosomal RNA". The record is from RNAcentral. Lineage: Bacteria; Pseudomonadati; Pseudomonadota; Gammaproteobacteria; Enterobacterales; Enterobacteriaceae.
GGUUAAGCGACUAAGCGUACACGGUGGAUGCCCUGGCAGUCAGAGGCGAUGAAGGACGUGCUAAUCUGCGAAAAGCGUCGGUAAGGUGAUAUGAACCGUUAUAACCGGCGAUGUCCGAAUGGGGAAACCCAGUGCAAUUCGUUGCACUAUCGUUAACUGAAUACAUAGGUUAACGAGGCGAACCGGGGGAACUGAAACAUCUAAGUACCCCGAGGAAAAGAAAUCAACCGAGAUUCCCCCAGUAGCGGCGAGCGAACGGGGAGCAGCCCAGAGUCUGAAUCAGCUUGUGUGUUAGUGGAACGGUCUGGAAAGUCCGACGGUACAGGGUGAUAGUCCCGUACACCAAAAUGCACAGGCUGUGAACUCGAAGAGUAGGGCGGGACACGUGGUAUCCUGUCUGAAUAUGGGGGGACCAUCCUCCAAGGCUAAAUACUCCUGACUGACCGAUAGUGAACCAGUACCGUGAGGGAAAGGCGAAAAGAACCCCGGCGAGGGGAGUGAAAAAGAACCUGAAACCGUGUACGUACAAGCAGUGGGAGCACCUUCGGGUGUGACUGCGUACCUUUUGUAUAAUGGGUCAGCGACUUAUAUUCUGUAGCAAGGUUAACCGUAUAGGGGAGCCGCAGGGAAACCGAGUCUUAACUGGGCGUUAAGUUGCAGGGUAUAGACCCGAAACCCGGUGAUCUAGCCAUGGGCAGGUUGAAGGUUGGGUAACACUAACUGGAGGACCGAACCGACUAAUGUUGAAAAAUUAGCGGAUGACUUGUGGCUGGGGGUGAAAGGCCAAUCAAACCGGGAGAUAGCUGGUUCUCCCCGAAAGCUAUUUAGGUAGCGCCUCGUGAACUCAUCUUCGGGGUAGAGCACUGUUUCGGCUAGGGGGUCAUCCCGACUUACCAACCCGAUGCAAACUACGAAUACCGAAGAAUGUUAUCACGGGAGACACACGGCGGGUGCUAACGUCCGUCGUGAAGAGGGAAACAACCCAGACCGCCAGCUAAGGUCCCAAAGUCAUGGUUAAGUGGGAAACGAUGUGGGAAGGCACAGACAGCCAGGAUGUUGGCUUAGAAGCAGCCAUCAUUUAAAGAAAGCGUAAUAGCUCACUGGUCGAGUCGGCCUGCGCGGAAGAUGUAACGGGGCUAAACCAUGCACCGAAGCUGCGGCAGCGACACUAUGUGUUGUUGGGUAGGGGAGCGUUCUGUAAGCCUGCGAAGGUGACCUGUGAGGGUUGCUGGAGGUAUCAGAAGUGCGAAUGCUGACAUAAGUAACGAUAAAGCGGGUGAAAAGCCCGCUCGCCGGAAGACCAAGGGUUCCUGUCCAACGUUAAUCGGGGCAGGGUGAGUCGACCCCUAAGGCGAGGCCGAAAGGCGUAGUCGAUGGGAAACAGGUUAAUAUUCCUGUACUUGGUGUUACUGCGAAGGGGGACGGAGAAGGCUAUGUUAGCCGGGCGACGGUUGUCCCGGUUUAAGCAUGUAGGCUGGUUAUCCAGGCAAAUCCGGAUAAUCAAGGCUGAGGUGUGAUGACGAGGCACUACGGUGCUGAAGUAACAAAUGCCCUGCUUCCAGGAAAAGCCUCUAAGCAUCAGGUAACAUCAAAUCGUACCCCAAACCGACACAGGUGGUCAGGUAGAGAAUACCAAGGCGCUUGAGAGAACUCGGGUGAAGGAACUAGGCAAAAUGGUGCCGUAACUUCGGGAGAAGGCACGCUGGUGUGUAGGUGAAGUCCCUGCGGAUGGAGCUGAGACCAGUCGAAGAUACCAGCUGGCUGCAACUGUUUAUUAAAAACACAGCACUGUGCAAACACGAAAGUGGACGUAUACGGUGUGACGCCUGCCCGGUGCCGGAAGGUUAAUUGAUGGGGUUAUCCGUAAGGAGAAGCUCUUGAUCGAAGCCCCGGUAAACGGCGGCCGUAACUAUAACGGUCCUAAGGUAGCGAAAUUCCUUGUCGGGUAAGUUCCGACCUGCACGAAUGGCGUAAUGAUGGCCAGGCUGUCUCCACCCGAGACUCAGUGAAAUUGAACUCGCUGUGAAGAUGCAGUGUACCCGCGGCAAGACGGAAAGACCCCGUGAACCUUUACUAUAGCUUGACACUGAACAUUGAGCCUUGAUGUGUAGGAUAGGUGGGAGGCUUUGAAGCGUGGACGCCAGUCUGCGUGGAGCCAACCUUGAAAUACCACCCUUUAAUGUUUGAUGUUCUAACGUUGGCCCCUGACCGGGGUUGCGGACAGUGUCUGGUGGGUAGUUUGACUGGGGCGGUCUCCUCCCAAAGCGUAACGGAGGAGCACGAAGGUUAGCUAAUCCUGGUCGGACAUCAGGAGGUUAGUGCAAUGGCAUAAGCUAGCUUGACUGCGAGCGUGACGGCGCGAGCAGGUGCGAAAGCAGGUCAUAGUGAUCCGGUGGUUCUGAAUGGAAGGGCCAUCGCUCAACGGAUAAAAGGUACUCCGGGGAUAACAGGCUGAUACCGCCCAAGAGUUCAUAUCGACGGCGGUGUUUGGCACCUCGAUGUCGGCUCAUCACAUCCUGGGGCUGAAGUAGGUCCCAAGGGUAUGGCUGUUCGCCAUUUAAAGUGGUACGCGAGCUGGGUUUAGAACGUCGUGAGACAGUUCGGUCCCUAUCUGCCGUGGGCGCUGGAGAAUUGAGGGGGCUGCUCCUAGUACGAGAGGACCGGAGUGGACGCAUCACUGGUGUUCGGGUUGUCAUGCCAAUGGCACUGCCCGGUAGCUAAAUGCGGAAGAGAUAAGUGCUGAAAGCAUCUAAGCACGAAACUUGCCCCGAGAUGAGUUCUCCCUGAGACUUUAAGUCUCCUGAAGGAACGUUAAAGACGAUGACGUUGAUAGGCCGGGUGUGUAAGCGCAGCGAUGCGUUGAGCUAACCGGUACUAAUGAACCGUGAGGCUUAACCUU